RNAcentral lists this ribosomal RNA (274 nucleotides) under uncultured bacterium. Its description in RNAcentral is "partial 16S ribosomal RNA". It matches the Rfam family "Bacterial small subunit ribosomal RNA", at positions 523 to 796 of the family's 1533-position model. The record is from RNAcentral.
AUACGGAGGGGGCUAGCGUUGUUCGGAAUUACUGGGCGUAAAGCGCGCGUAGGCGGGCUGGUUAGUUGGGGGUGAAAUCCCGAGGCUCAACCUCGGAACUGCCCUCAAUACUGCCAGUCUUGAGUUCGAGAGAGGUGAGUGGAAUUCCUAGUGUAGAGGUGAAAUUCGUAGAUAUUAGGAAGAACACCAGUGGCGAAGGCGGCUCACUGGCUCGAUACUGACGCUGAGGCGCGAAAGCGUGGGGAGCAAACAGGAUUAGAUACCCCGGUAGUCC